Molecule: ribosomal RNA, 2093 nt
Filed under: Muscina stabulans
Lineage: Eukaryota; Metazoa; Arthropoda; Insecta; Diptera; Muscidae
Description: eukaryotic LSU rRNA
Rfam family: Eukaryotic large subunit ribosomal RNA
Source: RNAcentral
AAGAAAUCAGUUCAGCACUAAGUCACUUUGUCUUUAUGGCAAAUGUGAGAUGCAGUGUAUGGAAUGUUCAAUUUCUAGUAUGAGAAAUUAACGAUUUAAGUCCUUCUUAAAUGAGGCCAUUUACCCAUAGAGGGUGCCAGGCCCGUAUAACGUUAAUGAUUACUAGAGAAUAUUUCCAAAGAGUCGUGUUGCUUGAUAGUGCAGCACUAAGUGGGUGGUAAACUCCAUCUAAAACUAAAUAUAACCAUGAGACCGAUAGUAAACAAGUACCGUGAGGGAAAGUUGAAAAGAACUCUGAAUAGAGAGUUAAAUAGUACGUGAAACUGCUUAGAGGUUAAGCCCGAUGAACCUGAAUAUCCAUUAUGGAAAAUUCAUCAUUAUGAUUGUGAUAUGAAUAAUAUUAUAAUAAUGGUGUGCAUUUUUUCCAUAUAAGGACAUUGUAAUCUAUUAAUAUGCCAUUAUUUAUCAUAAGAUCGAUGACUUUAGUUUAUUCAAAUUAUUUUGCUUGCAAUUUAACAUAGAAUAAAUGUUGUCGAUUUGAUAAAGUGUUGAUAGAUUUAUUAUAUAUAGUGCUUGAAUAUUUAUAUUCUAUAAUAGCAUGAUAAUCAUUGAUUUUUGUGUUUAUUAUAUGCACUUAUAUGAUUAACAAUGCGAAAGAUUCAGGAUACCUUCGGGACCCGUCUUGAAACACGGACCAAGGAGUCUAACAUAUUUGCAAGUUAUUGGGAAUUAAAAACCUAAUAGCGAAAUUAACAUAACUUAUAUAAUGGGAUUAGUUUUUAGUGCUUUUUAAGUCUAUUAAUUCAAUCCCGGGGCGUUCUAUACAGUUAUGUAUAAUGAUACUUGUAUUAUUUAUACCUCUAACUAGAGCGUACCUUGAGCAUAUAUGCUGUGACCCGAAAGAUGGUGAACUAUACUUGAUCAGGUUGAAGUCAGGGGAAACCCUGAUGGAAGACCGAAACAGUUCUGACGUGCAAAUCGAUUGUCAGAAUUGAGUAUAGGGGCGAAAGACCAAUCGAACCAUCUAGUAGCUGGUUCCCUCCGAAGUUUCCCUCAGGAUAGCUGGUGCAUUUAAAAAUUAUGUAAAAUAAUCUUAUCUGGUAAAGCGAAUGAUUAGAGGCCUUAGGGUCGAAACGACCUUAACCUAUUCUCAAACUUUAAAUGGGUAAGAACCUCACCUUUCUUGGUAUGAAGGUUGUGGUUGUGAUAUAAUGUGCCCAGUGGGCCACUUUUGGUAAGCAGAACUGGCGCUGUGGGAUGAACCAAACGUAAUGUUACGGUGCCCAAAUUGACAACUCAUGCAGAUACCAUGAAAGGCGUUGGUUGCUUAAAACAGCAGGACGGUGGACAUGGAAGUCGUAAUCCGCUAAGGAGUGUGUAACAACUCACCUGCCGAAGCAACUAGCCCUUAAAAUGGAUGGCGCUUAAGUUGUAUACCUAUACAUUACCGCUAAAGUAAAUGGUUUAUGUUCAAUUUCGGUUGGAUUAUAAACUUUGAAACUUUAGUGAGUAGGAGGGUACAAUGGUGUGCAUGGAAGUGUUUGGCGUAAGCCUGCAUGGAGCCGCCAUUGGUACAGAUCUUGGUGGUAGUAGCAAAUAAUCGAAUGAGACCUUGGAGGACUGAAGUGGAGAAGGGUUUCGUGUGAACAGUGGUUGAUCACGAGUUAGUCGGUCCUAAGUUCAAGGCGAAAGCCGAACAUUUUCAAGUUAUAAUCUAACAAUGUAACACGCUUUACACUUGUAAUUAAACACUUGAAUUUUUUUGAACGAAAGGGAAUACGGUUCCAAUUCCGUAACCUGUUGAGUAUCCGUUUGUUAUUAAAUAUGGGCCUUGUGCUCAUCCUGGCAACAGGAACGACCAUAAAGAAGCCGUCGAGAGAUAUCGGAAGAGUUUUCUUUUCUGUUUAACAGUCGUACUACCAUGGAAGUCUUUCGAAGAGAGAUAUGGUAGAUGGAUCUGGAAGAGCAUGACAUUUACUGUUGUGUCGAUAUUUUCUCCUCGGACCUUGAAAAUUUAUGGUGGGGUCACGCAAACUUCUCAACAGGCCGUACCAAUAUCCGCAGCUGGUCUCCAAGGUGAAGAGUCUCUAGUC